ACAUUUAGGCAAGCGCUGGUACCAGCAAACAAACUUACCUGCCAAUGCCAGUGAUGCAAAAUUGGCGUUUCAAACUGGUUUUAACGAAGCUGACCUUUCCUCACAUAGCACUGUGAAAGGAGUGUCAGCUUCUCAAAAACAUGUUUGAAGACCCCAAAACUUGCAUCACUGACACUGGUACCAGCAAACAAACGAACCUGCCAGAGCUUGCCUAAACGUCCCCAUUGCGUUUCGCCUUGUUAAGCUUGAAUUACAGGAAGGUUUCAAAUGACCGUGGAACUGAUUUUUCGUCCAAACAGCCUCUAAAGGCCAAGUCAAUCGUCAUGCCUCAUUGAAGAGCGUAUAGCCCGGCUUUUCAAGUUUCUUUGUCAAGAACUGAUUGGACUUGCAACAUUGAAGGUGGUCUGGAUCAUCAAGGCCACUCUCUAGCAUCCUGGUGAGCAAGAAUGACGAUUGUACCUGUUUUCCGACUGAUGACCACGCUUUCGUCGGAUGACUCGGAUGACAUUGAUGACAAAUAUCAGAUUAACCACCAUCACAAGAACAACGAGAACCCCCAGGUACCAAAUACUAUCGGUGGUGUCCAUCCAACAACUAUGGAACAUGGAAUGCAUCUGAUUAGGCCCCGAGGAUGAAAAAGUGAAGGUCAAACCUUUCCAUCUCUAGCUGGCAAAUGAGCCCAUUUCCAUUGAGCAGCAAUCUUCAAAGGCAAGUUUCUUUUGUGCAUAAUAG
Long non-coding RNA from Tigriopus californicus, 732 nucleotides. RefSeq lists it as uncharacterized. Lineage: Eukaryota; Metazoa; Arthropoda; Copepoda; Harpacticoida; Harpacticidae. The record is from RefSeq and is a predicted model, not a curated record. The transcript is spliced from 3 exons.